GUACCAGACUCCUACGGGAGGCAGCAGUGAGGAAUAUUGGUCAAUGGUCGGGAGACUGAACCAGCCAAGCCGCGUGAGGGAGGAAGGUACAGAGUCUCGUAAACCUCUUUUGUCAGGGAACAAAGGCGGGGACGUGUCCCCGGAUGAGUGUACCUGAAGAAAAAGCAUCGGCUAACUCCGUGCCAGCAGCCGCGGUAAUACGGAGGAUGCGAGCGUUAUCCGGGUUUAUUGGGUUUAAAGGGUGCGCAGGCGGUCUGUUAAGACGUGGGUGAAAGCCCGGGGCUCAACCCCGGGCCGCCGUUGAAACUGGCAGUCUCGAGUUGGAGAGAAGUAUGCGGAAUGCGCGGUGUAGCGGUGAAAUGCAUAGAUAUCGCGCAGAACUCCGAUUGCGAAGGCAGCAUGCCGGCUCCACACUGACGCUGAGGCACGAAAGCGUGGGUAUCGAACAGGAUUAGAUACCCUGGUAAAA
This 469-nucleotide ribosomal RNA is filed under the name uncultured bacterium. Its description in RNAcentral is "bacterial SSU rRNA". It matches the Rfam family "Bacterial small subunit ribosomal RNA", at positions 328 to 795 of the family's 1533-position model. The record is from RNAcentral.